Molecule: ribosomal RNA, 75 nt
Filed under: Pseudoalteromonas citrea
Lineage: Bacteria; Pseudomonadati; Pseudomonadota; Gammaproteobacteria; Alteromonadales; Pseudoalteromonadaceae
Description: partial 16S ribosomal RNA
Rfam family: Bacterial small subunit ribosomal RNA
Source: RNAcentral
UAUACGAUGAAGAGUUUGAUCCUGGCUCAGGAUGAACGCUAGCGGCAGGCCUAACACAUGCAAGUCGAGGGGUAU